Molecule: long non-coding RNA, 1487 nt
Filed under: Mytilus galloprovincialis (Mediterranean mussel)
Lineage: Eukaryota; Metazoa; Mollusca; Bivalvia; Mytilida; Mytilidae
Source: RNAcentral
GUUUUAAAAAAGCUUUACAACAGCAUGCUGUUCAUAUUAUGGUUUCAUAUAUAAAAUCCAUUAAAUGUUAAAUCUGUUUGUCAGUUCUUCUUUAUCUUUUUGUUUCUUUCUUUCCUUUUGUAUGAUUUUUUUCUUACAGGAAUAAAUACAAUACCUAAAGUAUUAGUGGCUCUCAUUCAAGCUAUAAAUCUUAAAGUUGAAUAAUCCACCAUUAUUAAUUCUGAAGUCAAAAACAAUGUGUAAAAGUGUUGAAAAGUAAUUGAAAGAUUAACAAGUGUGUUAUAUUUGCUGUUUUCAUGUUCAAAAUAUGUAAACAAACUUAUUUUCCCACAUUCUUUAUUUUGCAUUUACACAUUUGAAGACUUUCUCAUUUUCUUGAAGUAUUUAUUAGAGUGGUGAGCCAAGUUUCACAUUUUGGUAACUUCAUUAGCAUGUUAUUACUCUACUCGAGAAAAUUGAAUAAAAAUUAGUUAAGUUUCCAAUAUUUCAAACAAGACAGAGUAAAAAGAGAGAUGACAGGUGUACCAUCAGCUUCUUGUUAACUAAAGUCUCAAAUGUGUCCAAAGUUUAAAGUUUUAAAUAUUUCAAACCUACCUUUAUAGUCAGUUUAUUCUAUAAAGACAAAUAUUGGACCAUGUUAAUUUCUGCAGUUUGACUUUUGAAGUGAAUACAAACAGGUAUCUUAUAAUUAAAAAUGUGGUUCAGUUACUUGGUUUAGGCAAUGAUAGGAAAAAAUGGUUGUGAUACAAUGAACAUCAAGAAAAGUACUAGUUAAAUGUCAAAAAAACACUAAAAACAAAACAAAUAAUUCUAUAUUUCUUCUAUACCCGCAAUAAGUAACAAUAACAAAAAUAAAAAAAAUAUAAAAAGGUCCUAAUGCAUUAUGGUUGUAUAUGUUACUUGCUUGAGACUGUUGGACAAUUUGUGAUAAUAUUGGGUAGAUCUCUUCACCUGAUAUAUUUAUAAUUUAAUAUUACCCUGUAGCUUCUAUGUACGGAUCAAGACUGAGGGGCAAACCUUUUCUAUUUUAAGAUUUUUGAUGUAGGUGUAGGUGUAGUGGUUUUAUGUCAAGUGUUAAUACAUUUAUUUUUCUUUUCCAUUACAAGGAUAUUAUAACACACUUUUAGAAUAUUUAAAGAAAUAUUUGUUUUAGUCAUGAUUUACAAAAAAAAACAGGUUUUUAAAGUGUUAUCAGAAACAUUUUGGACAAUAAUAGUCAUUUUGCGUGACCAAAUUAAAAACAACUGUUUCAACUAGAUGUACCAUCAUGCUAUGACUGUUAUACUUUUGCUUAGAUGUUUCUGUCUGCAAAAUAAAAGUAGCAGUAGUAUACCCCUGUUCAAAAGUCAUAAAUUGAAUCAGCAAAAAUAAGUAACCAACCAAAACUGGGGGAAACACAUCAACUAUAAAAGGAAAACAAGGGAACAACAAACACUGAACUGCAACAAAAACAAACGCCAACAUACAAAGAAACAGACUAUGUGAGU